AUGAACGCUAGCGGCAGGCCUAAUACAUGCAAGUCGAGGGGCAGCGGGAGUAGCAAUACUUGCCGGCGACCGGCGCACGGGUGCGUAACACGUAUGUAACCUAUCCAUAAUUUGGGAAUAGCCCGGAGAAAUUCGGAUUAAUGUCCAAUAAGAUAUUAGAAUGGCAUCAUUCAGAUAUUAAAGAUUUAUCGAUUAUGGGAGGGCAUGCGGCCAAUUAGCUAGUUGGUGAGGUAACAGCUCACCAAGGCUACGAUUGGUAGGGGACCUGAGAGGGUGAUCCCCCACACUGGUACUGAGAUACGGACCAGACUCCUACGGGAGGCAGCAGUAGGGAAUAUUGGGCAAUGGAGGCAACUCUGACCCAGCCAUGCCGCGUGCAGGAAGAAGGCCUUCUGGGUUGUAAACUGCUUUUGAUUGGGAACAAAUGAAUCUUGCGAGAUUAGCUGAGGGUACCAAUAGAAUAAGCACCGGCUAACUCCGU
This 481-nucleotide ribosomal RNA is filed under the name uncultured bacterium. RNAcentral's name for it is "bacterial SSU rRNA". It matches the Rfam family "Bacterial small subunit ribosomal RNA", at positions 29 to 506 of the family's 1533-position model. The record is from RNAcentral.